RNAcentral lists this ribosomal RNA (627 nucleotides) under Stenotrophomonas sp. So3Ps_1820. Its description in RNAcentral is "bacterial SSU rRNA". It matches the Rfam family "Bacterial small subunit ribosomal RNA", at positions 388 to 1006 of the family's 1533-position model. Lineage: Bacteria; Pseudomonadati; Pseudomonadota; Gammaproteobacteria; Lysobacterales; Lysobacteraceae. The record is from RNAcentral.
CCAGCCAUACCGCGUGGGUGAAGAAGGCCUUCGGGUUGUAAAGCCCUUUUGUUGGGAAAGAAAAGCAGUCGAUUAAUACUCGGUUGUUCUGACGGUACCCAAAGAAUAAGCACCGGCUAACUUCGUGCCAGCAGCCGCGGUAAUACGAAGGGUGCAAGCGUUACUCGGAAUUACUGGGCGUAAAGCGUGCGUAGGUGGUUGUUUAAGUCUGUUGUGAAAGCCCUGGGCUCAACCUGGGAAUUGCAGUGGAUACUGGGCGACUAGAGUGUGGUAGAGGGUAGUGGAAUUCCCGGUGUAGCAGUGAAAUGCGUAGAGAUCGGGAGGAACAUCCAUGGCGAAGGCAGCUACCUGGACCAACACUGACACUGAGGCACGAAAGCGUGGGGAGCAAACAGGAUUAGAUACCCUGGUAGUCCACGCCCUAAACGAUGCGAACUGGAUGUUGGGUGCAAUUUGGCACGCAGUAUCGAAGCUAACGCGUUAAGUUCGCCGCCUGGGGAGUACGGUCGCAAGACUGAAACUCAAAGGAAUUGACGGGGGCCCGCACAAGCGGUGGAGUAUGUGGUUUAAUUCGAUGCAACGCGAAGAACCUUACCUGGUCUUGACAUGUCGAGAACUUUCCAGAGA